Vicugna pacos (alpaca) is the source of this 1940-nucleotide non-coding RNA. NCBI's taxonomy places the organism in Eukaryota, Metazoa, Chordata, Mammalia, Artiodactyla, Camelidae. The record is from RefSeq and is a predicted model, not a curated record.
UCCCCCGGCGUCGGCCGGGGCGCGCCGCGCGGGCUGCUGGGAGUGGUAGUUCCAGCAGCGCGCUUCCGGCUGGGCCGAAAGUGCCUCCACGAAACCGCAGGUUCCUCCAGAGGCAGCCACUAUCCGGAAUGAGAUGUGGCUCGCUCCACGUGUUUCCUGAAACUUUACAACGCGUCUGUAUUCCAGAGCAAUACAAAGCAUGUUUUGCAUUCAUAGAGAUGCUAUCGAUACCAUAAGAUUUCAUUUGCAACUUACAUUGUUUGCUUCGUGUAUUUAUCCUUUUUGGUAUGUGAAGCUGUAUUUCAUUUAUUUUCACUGCUGUAUAGUUUCCCAUUGAAUGAAUUUACCACAAUGUUUAUCCUCUCUACCUUCGUGUGUGUGUGCAGUGAGGUAAUUGGGUUUACCCGUUUACUUAUUCAAGGAAGUACUGGAGAUUGAACCUAGGACCUCAUGCAUGCUAAAGCAUGCAUUCUACCACCUGAGCUAUACCCUCCCCACAUCGUCUCUACUUUUGAUAGCCACAUCGUCUCUACUUUUUAUAGCCACUUGGAUUCAUUCAAAAAUACUCAUUAAAGCAAAAAACUGGGAAUAAAGUAGUGGGGAAAAAAAUCGAGCUCACGUUCUAGAGGGGAAUAAGCAGUAAAGAAGUUAAGUAGAACAUGUAACAUAUCUGAUGGGAUAACUGCUAAAAGCCAAAGAGGGAAAGGCGACAGGGGAGGCUGGAGGAUCAGGGAAGGCCUUACUGAGAAGCAAAGAUGUGAACACAGGGAGGAAGCCAGCCAUUCAGACAUCUGCUUGCACCUUUGCAAGCAAAGGGCUUCCAGUUUUUGCUAUGAACAUUCACGUAUAGGUCUCCUUAUAAUUUCUCCUUGUGGGUUUCUCUGGUGUGAAUAUGUCCACAACUGGUAGAAAUGUCACCCAGUUUCCAAAAGGACUGCGUCUUUUUAUAGUUCCACUAGUAACAUCUAGGAGUUCCACCUGCUCCACAUCCUCACCAAUGCUUGGUAGUGUCAGAUUUUAAAAUGUUUGCCAAAUGCAUGGUACAAAGUGGUAUUUCAUUGUGACAUGUGUGCACUUACUAAUGAGACUCAGCAUUUUUUCAUAGUUUUUAGCCAUUUGUGUUUUCUCUGAAUUACCUUCUCAUUUCUCAUUUCAUUCCUGUAUUUUUCUCUUGGUUUGUCUUUUUCUUGCUGGUUUGUAAAAGUUCUUCACAUAAAUUUAACAUUGAUCUUUUACUAGUAAUAUAUCCCUUCUAAGUUGUAACUUAUCUUUUACUUUGUUUAUGGUGUCUUUUGAAGAAAAGAAGGAUUUUUUUAAUAUCUUUUGUUUCCAUUGUGUUUUGUCUUCAUUUCAAAAUCUCAGCUACAUUUCAGUCCUAAAAAUAGAUCCUGUAUUUUCUCCUAAAAGACUUUCUAAUCAGCUUAAUUGCUGUAUAACUGACACAUGAUAAACUGCACAUAUUUAAAGUGUAUAAUUUUGUAAAUUUUGAUAUGUUUAAACCUGUAAAACCAUCACCACAAUCUAGAGAAUGAAUCUAACCAUCAUCCCCAGUUUUUUCAGGUCCCUUUAAGUUCCUCCCAUCUCUCCACACAUGGAACGAUACAUUGCAUACUCUUUAUUUGGGGGGAUCUGGUUUCUUUUACUCAGCAUAAUUAUUUUGAGAUUCAUCCAUGUUGUUGCAUGUAUCAAUGGGACAUUCCAUUUUAUUGCUCAGUAAUACUCCAUUUUAUGAAUCUAUGACAAUUUGUUUACCCAGUCACCCGUUGCUGGACAUUUGAGUUGUUUCCAGUUCAGGGCUGUUAUAAAUAAAGCAGAUAUGACAUUAGCAUAGGGUACAAGUCUUUGUAUGGGCAUCUAUUUCCUUUUGGGUAAAUGUCUAGGAGCAGAAUGGCUGGGUCACAUGGUAGGUGUAAGUUCAGUAUUUUAAGAAACUGUCAAAA